GACAGAGGGUGCAAACGUUGUUCGGAAUUACUGGGCGUAAAGCGUGUGUAGGCGGCCGCGCAAGUCGGAUGUGAAAGCCCCGGGCUCAACCCGGGAAGUGCACCCGAUACUGCAUGGCUCGAGUACUGGAGAGGUUGGUGGAAUUCUCGGUGUAGAGGUGAAAUUCGUAGAUAUCGAGAGGAACACCGGUGGCGAAGGCGGCCAACUGGACGAGAUACUGACGCUGAGACACGAAAGCGUGGGGAGCAAACAGG
RNAcentral lists this ribosomal RNA (254 nucleotides) under uncultured bacterium. Its description in RNAcentral is "partial 16S ribosomal RNA". It matches the Rfam family "Bacterial small subunit ribosomal RNA", at positions 524 to 776 of the family's 1533-position model. The record is from RNAcentral.